Long non-coding RNA from Anguilla rostrata (American eel), 577 nucleotides. RefSeq lists it as uncharacterized. The transcript is spliced from 2 exons. Lineage: Eukaryota; Metazoa; Chordata; Actinopteri; Anguilliformes; Anguillidae. The record is from RefSeq and is a predicted model, not a curated record.
GGUACUACUUACUGGGUAGGGAGUUUGUACUGAUCACUGACCAUGCCCCACUCAAAUGGAUGGCAGUGAAUAAAGAUAGUAACGCCCGUGUUACUAGGUGGUUUCUGGGGCUACAGUCUUUCCGCUUCAGGGUGGAACAUCGAGCCGGGAAGCUCCACGGGAAUGCUGAUGCCCUGUCCAGACGGGAGGAAUGCCUAUGGACGGGCGCUCCAGGGAACGGCAUGGAGCUGAGGGAAGGGGUAUGUGGCGCCCCGAUCCCUUAUCGGUGCUCCCCACGAGACCACCAGGACGGCCGAGCCCAUCGACACUGGCGGCCGCUGGGAAAAGUGGUGAGUGGGCGGUACCUAGCAAACCCCUGUCUAGAGACGUUCAGGACCCUGGACAGCCCCCGGCAGACCAACUGAGGCGACAACCGGCAGCACCAUGGACAGGGCUGCAGCAGAGGGAAGAAGAGGCUGUGAAGACCUGGAGCGGAGCACUGAUACCCCGACCGGGAAGACUUUUUAGUUGUUUUUGGCUCCCCCUACCCCUACCCCCACUCAUUACAAUUAUUAAAGACCUUUUUUGUUAAACACUA